This 73-nucleotide transfer RNA is filed under the name Gemmatimonadota bacterium. RNAcentral's name for it is "Gemmatimonadetes bacterium tRNA-Phe". It matches the Rfam family "tRNA". From Rfam's summary of the family: Transfer RNA (tRNA) molecules are approximately 80 nucleotides in length. Their secondary structure includes four short double-helical elements and three loops (D, anti-codon, and T loops). Further hydrogen bonds mediate the characteristic L-shaped molecular structure. tRNAs have two regions of fundamental functional importance: the anti-codon, which is responsible for specific mRNA codon recognition, and the 3' end, to which the tRNAs corresponding amino acid is attached (by aminoacyl-tRNA synthetases). tRNAs cope with the degeneracy of the genetic code in two manners: having more than one tRNA (with a specific anti-codon) for a particular amino acid; and 'wobble' base-pairing, i.e. permitting non-standard base-pairing at the 3rd anti-codon position. Lineage: Bacteria; Pseudomonadati; Gemmatimonadota. RNAcentral also lists the same sequence under 1 other name. The record is from RNAcentral.
GGUUCAGUAGCUCAGUUGGAAGAGCGCCUGCGUGAAGCACAGGAGGCCGGCGGUUCGACUCCGUCCUGGACCA